Micropterus salmoides (largemouth bass) is the source of this 719-nucleotide long non-coding RNA. RefSeq lists it as uncharacterized. The transcript is spliced from 6 exons. The record is from RefSeq and is a predicted model, not a curated record. NCBI's taxonomy places the organism in Eukaryota, Metazoa, Chordata, Actinopteri, Centrarchiformes, Centrarchidae.
CUGGUCUAGCUGUGAAGUGAAAGUAUGUGGAGCUAAAUGUGUUUUUUAUUCAGAAUUCAAAGGAGAAGCUGAGAAGCAGACAAGAGUGUGUCAUCCUACCAUAGACAACUGGAUAUACCAUGGCACUAAUACUGUAAAAGCUGCCCAGGAGAGCAUUAUGUUGCCUGGAAACGCCACUUAACAAGGUCAGAGAUAGGAGAGAGGUAAAGAGAGGCUGACAUCUCAGCCUUCACCGGUCCUCCACUGAGGCUGCCACAGCUGCUUUCUCUCCAGGGCACAGGUCAGCUGCUGUACAUGAUGUCGGCUAUGCACUGGGAGGCCAGACGGCGUCAGAGUGUUCUGGACCGCAGGAUGGCCAGAGACAAACAGAAGCUUUCGCUGUUGCAGGGCUCUGAGACCAGCUGCAAUACAACCGAAUCAAACACAACACAAGAGCAAACAGCUGGAGGCCAAUGUCCCCACUGUAAGGGCGACCUAAAGACUCCCGUCCAUCACAGUGCAAAGAUCCCCAACAGAUACUCAUCUUUACAGUACACCCAACAAUGGUGAGGAAGACAAGGAACAACACUGCUCUCAUAACCUCAAUGGAUUAUUGGACCAUGUUUGGAAGCUCUGAAACAGCAGCUCUACAUUUGGUUUUGUUGAAACUGCAUCAGAGAGAUUAUUGUGGUUCUAUAAAUGAAUGGGAUAAAUAUGAUUAAAACAUGCCUUCUCUGAAA